AUGGUCAUACCCAAUGCUGAGCCAAGCAGCCAUUCCUGGGCACCUCUGGCCCCCGAGUCCCAGCCCAAACAAUGGAGGCAAGUGCCUGGCUUGGCCCAGAUGGAGACCUUGCACUUCCCUAGGGACUUGUCUUGGGGAAAAAGGAUUCUCCAAAUCCAGCCUGAAUGCCCCUGGGCUGCAGUUUGGGGCCAGAACCCCUCGUUGCAUCACCUGUUGCUGCUGCCAAGAAAAGUUUGGCCUCCUCCAUCCCCUCCACCCCUUUCUGUGCCAGGGCUGGGGGCUGCUGUCAGCCUGUCCCCCACAGCCAGGCUCAACAGGCCCAGCUCCCUCCCACCUCCUCAGGGGCUGGGUGCUCUAAUCCACAACCCACUGGGCAGCCACUGUGGGGUCACGGCAGGGUCCCCAUGUCCCCCUGGCACAGCUCAGGGUCAGCACCAUCACCUCGGGGCCCUUCCAGCAGGACCGGUGGCUCCUGCCUGCCCUGGUGCCUUGGCUGACCCCGGUGCUGCCCUCCUGGCACGGUGCCACCGGUCCCUGAGCAGCUCCCAAGCAGGGAGGACAGACCCCAACAACCAAGGGAUGCGUGGGAAGCACCAUCACCACAAGCGUGUCAGGCCAGCAGGAAGGAGGGGACAGCAGGGAGCGUCCCACCCCCUCCUCGGGCUGUCUCAGCCGAGGGACAGGGCCCAGGCCACCGGCCCCUCCCUGGGAGCCGCCACUCUACCAGGACCCCUCCAUCAGCCUCAGGAUGCUGCUGUAGAGGCGCCCGGGGGCAUCCAGGCCCCAGACAAAGUCCCAGUGGUUCCAGUCGGGGAUGUGGGUGUAGGUGAUGAGGUGGGCGAUGCGGGGCAGCAGCAGGCGCACAUCCCUCCAGUCGGCUGCCCAGUCCUCCCCUCCCGACCACACCGCCGUGGGCACCGGCAUCUCCUCCACGCGGUACAGGGGCGGGGUGUCCUGGCGGGACACGGGGGCUCUCAGUGGGUCAGUCCCUGCAGGCCGCUCUGUCCCUGCCCCACCAUUCUGCCACUAUAG
Molecule: long non-coding RNA, 1032 nt
Filed under: Corvus moneduloides (New Caledonian crow)
Lineage: Eukaryota; Metazoa; Chordata; Aves; Passeriformes; Corvidae
Description: lncRNA (ENSCMUG00000013839.2)
Source: RNAcentral